AGAGUUUGAUCCUGGCUCAGAACGAACGCUGGCGGCAGGCUUAACACAUGCAAGUCGAGCGCCCCGCAAGGGGAGCGGCAGACGGGUGAGUAACGCGUGGGAAUCUACCCAUCUCUACGGAAUAACGCAUGGAAACGUGUGCUAAUACCGUAUACGUCCUUCGGGAGAAAGAUUUAUCGGAGAUGGAUGAGCCCGCGUUGGAUUAGCUAGUUGGUGGGGUAAAGGCCUACCAAGGCGACGAUCCAUAGCUGGUCUGAGAGGAUGAUCAGCCACACUGGGACUGAGACACGGCCCAGACUCCUACGGGAGGCAGCAGUGGGGAAUAUUGGACAAUGGGCGCAAGCCUGAUCCAGCCA
RNAcentral lists this ribosomal RNA (356 nucleotides) under uncultured bacterium. RNAcentral describes it as "bacterial SSU rRNA". It matches the Rfam family "Bacterial small subunit ribosomal RNA", at positions 8 to 394 of the family's 1533-position model. The record is from RNAcentral.